Molecule: long non-coding RNA, 603 nt
Filed under: Pan troglodytes (chimpanzee)
Lineage: Eukaryota; Metazoa; Chordata; Mammalia; Primates; Hominidae
Description: long non-coding RNA NONPTRT005260
Source: RNAcentral
CUUGAGAGCUGAGAGUAGGUGGGAAGCAGCUCAUGAUUGGAAGUGAUAUUGGUGGAAGACAACAUUUUGCCGCUUGGAAUUCUCACCUCCACACCAAAGAAGUACUGUUUUUGUCAUUUGCACCAGCUUCUUUCUCCAGGAAAGAUCAAAACGAUGCACUGCAAGGUGUGGUUGGUCCAGAUAGCUGCCUUAUCCAACUGCCUCCUUUGGACCACUUCAUCAUGGGACAGCUUGAUGCAAUCUACUUGACAAGACCCUGGAACCCCACACCCCUCAUGGAACCAGUGUCCACCUCCCAGUCACAGUGUGACCCCAGGGAACUCUUGCCUGCUUGCUUUAAACCCACCACUUAAAAGUCUCCACAGAAAACCUGUUUGAAUAGUACCUUUGACCCAAUAAGGGCAUUGGCCCAUGGGUGUCUCUCUCUCUCUCUCUCCCUCUCUCUCUCUCUCGCUCCCUGACCUCUGCGUGUGGACUCCAGGCAUGCCAUAUACCCCUCAGGACCUGAAGCAAGAGAAUGAAUUAAAGAAAACUCCAGAGAAUGAGCUGACAACCUACUCCCUGGUCACUGGCUCUCCAUGCCUACCUGUGGUCUCUUGGACA